GAUGAACGCUGGCGGCGUGCCUAAUACAUGCAAGUAGAACGCUGAAGCUUGGUGCUUGCACCGAGCGGAUGAGUUGCGAACGGGUGAGUAACGCGUAGGUAACCUGCCUCUUAGCGGGGGAUAACUAUUGGAAACGAUAGCUAAUACCGCAUAAAAGUCGAUAUCGCAUGAUAUUGAUUUGAAAGGUGCAAUUGCAUCACUAAGAGAUGGACCUGCGUUGUAUUAGCUAGUUGGUGAGGUAACGGCUCACCAAGGCGACGAUACAUAGCCGAACUGAGAGGUUGAUCGGCCACAUUGGGACUGAGACACGGCCCAAACUCCUACGGGAGGCAGCAGUAGGGAAUCUUCCACAAUGGACGCAAGUCUGAUGGAGCAACGCCGCGUGAGUGAAGAAGGUCUUCGGAUCGUAAAACUCUGUUGUUAAAGAAGAACACGAGUGAGAGUAACUGUUCAUUCGAUGACGGUAUCUAACCAGCAAGUCACGGCUAACUACGUGCCAGCAGCCGCGGUAAUACGUAGGUGGCAAGCGUUGUCCGGAUUUAUUGGGCGUAAAGGGAACGCAGGCGGUCUUUUAAGUCUGAUGUGAAAGCCUUCGGCUUAACCGGAGUAGUGCAUUGGAAACUGGAAGACUUGAGUGCAGAAGAGGAGAGUGGAACUCCAUGUGUAGCGGUGAAAUGCGUAGAUAUAUGGAAGAACACCAGUGGCGAAAGCGGCUCUCUGGUCUGUAACUGACGCUGAGGUUCGAAAGCGUGGGUAGCAAACAGG
RNAcentral lists this ribosomal RNA (765 nucleotides) under uncultured Lactobacillus sp. Its description in RNAcentral is "bacterial SSU rRNA". It matches the Rfam family "Bacterial small subunit ribosomal RNA", at positions 28 to 776 of the family's 1533-position model. The record is from RNAcentral. Lineage: Bacteria; Bacillati; Bacillota; Bacilli; Lactobacillales; Lactobacillaceae.